CUGUUUUCUUCUCUGCUCUAUUUCCAAGACUUGACAAAGCCUUAGUAAAUACGUAAUAAAAAUUUGCUUAGUGACUAAUAUUUUAAUACACAAAGAGGUAUAGGGAUGGAGGGCGUGUUAUAAAAUGUGAAAAACUACAGAAUGAUUAAGAAAUGGGUUUUUCUAAUGGCAGGAUUAAAAUUACCUUACUCCAGAAAUUCUCUUAAACCAAUUUUAAAUGUCCAAAAAUUUAACUAGUUUAAAUCUUUAAAAGAGAAUUUCUAACUUGUUGAAAAGCAAGCACUAAGCAAGCACUUAGCAAGCACUAAGUACAUUAUUUAUUUAUUUUGGUCUUUUUGCCUUUUCCAGGGCCGCUCCUAGGUCCCAGGCUAGGGGUCUAAUUGAGCUGGCUUACACCACAGCUCACAGCAACGCCAGAUCCUUAACCCGCUGAGUAAGGCUAGGGAUCGAACCGCAACCUCAUGGUUCCUAGUCGGAUUCGUUAACCACUGAGCCACGAUGGGAACUCCAAGCACUAAGUACAUUAUAGAAUGUUUGUAUACAGAUGUAAAUGAGGAAGUAAAAGAGAAAAAAGGAAACAGCCCUAAAAAUACACACAUACAUGCGUGUAUACACAGAACUGGUUCAUGUUCUCUGCCUCCCUCCCUCUCUUUUAUCCCUUCCCUCCCUCUGUCCCCCUCUUUCCCUCCCUUUUCUCUUUCUCUUUGUCCCCCUCUCUCUCUGGUUGCCAGAAGUCUUACUUACUUAAUCUUUUUGGGUGUAUGGACCAGUUCAAAUGUUCUGUGCUACUCUAAUUGGUACACUCUUUUCAGAAAGUUGUCCAUCUACCACCAGUCCACUUUGCAUUUUGAUCUUCUUGUGCUUCCAGGUUGGGAGGAAGGAGGGAUUUAUGAGGGAUCGCCUGUCUCCCUAUGAUUGUAGCCACCAUGAUUUAAGUAGUAGCAGUGACCAGAGGAAGCCAUGCCUGAGUUAGGAGUCUGAAAAGCACACAGAGUUAUAAAUUAAUAGGCAUAUGUGCCAUGAGGCAAAGCUACAAGGUCUGAUCCCUAAUUUAACACCUGUCAGCUGCACUUCUUGCACCCGUGUACAUAACAUUGCCUCUGUGUAGAGCCUAGAAUGUGUCUUCAAAUUGGGCUUUUGAAAAUUAACAUCAACCUCAUAUCUAUCUGAGAGAAGUGAGUCUUUAGUUUUGGUUUGUUUUAAGGAAAAAAAAAAAAAGACCCUGACUUCAAUAAACUAUUGGCAAAAAAUGACACCAUGAAUAUGUGAGUGAAGACAGAAUGGUCUUCGAUUGAAAUGCUGUGAAACACGCACCAAGCUUGACCUGUUGGGCUAUUGGUGAACAAUAUAGAAAUGUCUGAAUUGUGACUAUAUGUUUAACUGUGAUUCACGGGAAAGCCCAGUGGGACUCUAAUAACUCUUGACAAUGGGUGGUUUUUCUUUUCAUUUUACAGUAGUGGGCUGUGGUAGUAACCUGCAAAGUUGUUUUGUCGGUGGGAUACAAGCAGCAUUGAACAGUGAGAUGAAUACAGAUGCCUAAAAGCUUAAUCCUGAACAAUGCUGAAGGUCUUUAUGUUUAUGGGAAGCUCAAAGGAUGGAAAGAAAAUCUUUUAACUUUUUAAAAAGAUUGGCAUCCUGGUUAUAGGUAUAUGAGUAGAAUAGCACAGUUUUAGACUCUGUUAAGUUUUCAUAGCAGAGUAGUUGAAAAUGUAGCACUGCGCUUCAUUUAACUAUGGAUAUUUGACAUUUUAAAGGACUGGGUGACAGAAGAUUUUUUUUUUUUUAAAUAGAAAUUGCCUUAGUAAAUGUGAACACUUUGCUAAGUGGCUUAUCAUGAAAUUUGCCAAACCUCUGAAAAAGUGAUAGUUCGAAAUGAGGUUGAGAGAGUAAAUCUGACCAGGAUGUCCUAUUUUGUUGGUUUGGCUGCUUUGAUUAAAACCUUCUGUGAGGCAAUGGCCCUUGCGUGAUAGGCCCAGAUGCAAAUUAAGACGACGACAGUGUGUUGACCUACUAAACAAAAAGCACAACGGCUCUGUAACUAUGAACAGAAACAGUUACUUCACUGCUUAGUUAAAAUUGCACACCCAACCCCCUAAAAGGGGGGAAAAAAAAACCCUUUCAGCGGUGGCCCCUUUUGGGCAUAUGUAAAUCCCUUCAUGGAAAGUUAAAAAACCCCAGGAAAUCCCACCUGUGAAUGAUUGUAGUAUUUAACCCUGAGGUUAGUUUCUAUAAUGCUCAUUUCAUGAAAAGCCUCCCCCACCCCCAUUUUUAGUGGUUAGUUUGUAUAAAGGAAGCUCAAGACUCUAAGCCUGAAAAACCACAAUUUUCCCAAACAGGCAGGACUUCUAGCAAAAUAGUGUGAAAGCGACAGGGUUAACAGGUUAAAGUCAUUAUUCAGACAAACUCAAACUCAAAGUUUCUAAGUAUGAUGGCAUAGGUGAUAACCUCAGAGUCCUUUGAAUGAGUUUUUGCACUAGGCGCAUAAUAAAUAUAUCUAUGUGAUUAGCAUAAUCAUUAACCUGUUUCUGGUAUGCAUAUUCUGUAUUUAUGUUGCAAAGCCCCCAAUGCCUCCUUUGUCUCUGCAUGAGACAAUUUAAGUGAGUUGCUGGUAUAAGGACACUGCAACAUUUUCAGGUCACAUGUUUGGCAGUUUAACUCAAGAAAAGUUGAACACAAUGUUUUUUUCAUUAAUUCUAUUUUUUGAAACCAUAGUUUUAUACAAAACUGUUUAAUCUGUCUUCUGGUGGUACAGUGUUUACAACAGAAAGGUUGUAUGUUAAAUGGUUGACUUUUCAAGCAACUCAAACACCUGGUGAGCAUAAAUCUUUUAAUAGUAAUGUCACUCCAUUAACUCCUUUGUUACCAGAACUUCUGAAAUCCCUUUGCUAAAGAGUUGGAGAGUGACUGGCCAUAUAAACCCUAAAUAUUGCAUAGCCACAAAAAUUAAGAAAUACUGUUUAUGUUAGUACAUGAGACUUUAUUAGGAACAAAAUCAAGUCGUUUCUGGGCUUCAGGUUAUUAAUCUCAUUGUCAAGUAGUCUGUUUAGUUUAUGAGUUCAUUUUCCCAUUUCUGAAUUCCAUAUCCAUGUACACUAAUGAUUUCCAUAUUGGAAGUAAUUUCUUGGAUGGAGGAAAAUAGCUUUUCCUACUGUCAAAAAAGUCCAAAAUAAUAAAUAUGGAAGCACAAGGAAAAGAGAGAUACACCUUGAAAUAUUUUUGCUUAGGGAAAUAGUUACAUUUUUACCUUGUGUGUAAUGAACACUCUAUACAGAGUUAGGUUGGAACAUGAAUGUAUUUUUUUGUAUAGUCUGUUAUAUAAUGUUAAUUAAAUGCAGUCAGUUGUUUUAGUCUCUUAAUGAUGCUUACGUUCUGUCUGUAGGAAUCAGUUUUGGUUAUAAAAGUUAAAAGGGACAAAUGUUAAUUGCAUUCUGAUAAAGUGCAGAAUGAUUUGAAGUAGAAUUCUACUGUGUACGUUUAUAUAACAUAAAUAUUUGCAUAAAUACUGUUCAAGUAUAUAUAAAACCGAUAGAGACUAUGCUAUCAUAGGAGCCAUAGUUUCAUACUUUCAUUCAUCUAUUCAUUCAUUCAUUAUACAAACAUUUAAUGAAUGUCUGCUUUGUUUCUGGCACACAUCUGGGUUCUAGAGAUGCCGAAUACCUAUCAAAGAGGUGGUCCAGUAUCCAACACAGAGGGCCUAUUUGAAAUUAUAUAAGCCAAAAACUGAUCAAGAUGACCAAGAGAAUAACCUCUUUUUGAUUCUCAAUACAUAUCUUAACGCUGACAUGACUCCUAGAGAAAAUUUUCUCAUACUUUUAAUUGCUAUAUAUAUUUUGCAGAAGCUUAUUAAUUUAAACAUGAUAUAUUCAGAGCUUUCUCUAUGCCAAGUAUCACAGUGGGUGUUAAAAUUCUAGGCCAAAGGCUAAAUUGAAUAUAUCUUGUUAAAAUCCACUUCCUUGGUCAGAAAUGUGCAGUUCUUUCAGUUUGCAGUUCUUGAAAUAAUUUGCUUAGUUAGACAUUUACAGUGUAAUGAGGGCCAUGGGCAUGUAAACAAAUAGUUUAAUGUGAUGUGAAAAGAGCUCUGACUGCUCUGUGAGCUUAUUCAUAAAGGAUAUGGUAACCAGCUUUGUCUAAGGCUAUUAGGGGAGACUUUUCACAAAAAGUUGAUUUUUGACCUGGGCUUUGAAAGCUGAGUGGAGGGCACUUGCGACCUUAAGAGUUGGCAAAUACCAAGGCUCAGAGGUAUGAAGGUAAACAGCCAGUUCGGGCAGCUGUGGGUUGUUUAGCGUGAUCUUAGUGGAGGUAGUUACUUAGAGAAGCAGGAGGGCUACUUCAUACUAUUUCCUUCUGAUAGUCACAGGCUGUCUCCUAAACCCUUCAUUCUUUUUUUUUUUUUUUCCUUUUUAAGGUCCCACCUAUGGCAUAUGGAAGUUCCAGGGCUAGGAGUCAAAUCAGAGCUGCAGCUAUAGGUCUAUGCCAUAGCCUCAGCCAUGCCAGAUCUAAGCCACAUCUAUGACCUACACCACAGCUUGCUGCAACACUGGAUCCUUAACCCACUUCGUGAGGCCAGGGAUUGAACCUGCAUCCUCAUGGACACGGUAUCAGGUUCUUAACUCACUGAGACACAAUUGGGACUCCUCAACCUUUUAAAUUCACUUUUUCUCAGCUAAACCAGUGCUAUGAAGGGGUAGUAAUAGUUAGUGGCACUCUUGGCUUCUAAUUCAGAGAGACUUUUGUCAUGUUCCCUGCUGAAAGUUCUCUUUUAAAUAUCAACACUUUUUUGAGUUCCCUUCGUGGCUCAGUGGUUAAUGAAUCCAACUAAGAACCAUGAGGUUGUGGGUUCAAUCCCUGGCCUCGUGCGUUAAGGAUCUGGUGUUGCUGUGAGCUGUGGUGUAGGUCACAGACAUGGCUCAGAUCCUGCGUUGCUGUGGCUCUGGUGUAGGCCAGAGGUUAUAGCUCUUAUUUGACCCCUAGCCUGGGAACCUCCAUAUGCCAUGGGUGCAGCU
RNAcentral lists this long non-coding RNA (5003 nucleotides) under Sus scrofa (pig). RNAcentral describes it as "lncRNA (ENSSSCG00000053699.1)". Lineage: Eukaryota; Metazoa; Chordata; Mammalia; Artiodactyla; Suidae. The record is from RNAcentral.